UUACAAAAAUACCAACUUUAUUAACUAAUGAAGAGGCCGUUAAUUACAGAAGAUUUAUAAUACAAGUUAUAACCACAGUGUUCCCUUUUCAUUAGGCAUUCAGCUGGAUAUAUUUAAUGGGAGCGUUAUUUUUCCCACUUAAAUAUAAAAAAAUACUCCCUAUCAUACACUGAAUUCCACAGGCAGCUCCCUGAAGUUAGAUCCCAUGCAAGGAAAACACCAUACAAAAAUGCCCAAAGGUAUGUUUAAAAAGGAACACUGCAAAAUUUUAGAGUGAAAAGACAUGUUAGUUCCUGCCAGCAGCCCCAACAUUCAUAAAACAAUAUUAUAUCAGUGCAUGUGAGGGAGGAAGAAAAUAAUUGAUAAGGAAACAAGGCUAAACAACCAAUCCAAUAGGUUUCAUACAGGUUCCAUGGGGGUCAACUAGUUUACAACCAAUCUUCCAGAAGGAUGGCAACAAAGCCUUGCCUCCUGCUGCAGUUGCUGUGGAGUUGAGAAUCUGUGUGCUUUUCAGUGUACAAGGAUGCAUACAGUUCAGUGCAAGGCCAUAGCAAAAAGCACUGAGCAACUUUCAGCCCCCCCUUUUUUGACAAUCACAUUCACUGAUUUCAAGGGACGUUUUGCCUGAGUAGGUUUUGACCCUCAGAGAUAUAUACGGACCCUCGUCUGAAAAGCUCUAAAUCAAGUGAGUAGCUCUGUCAAGUACAUUGGCAUUACCUGCAGCAAGGGUUUGCAGAAUGCCUCAGAGAAUUUUAAUCUUAAACUAGAGAAGAAGAUUUCAGCAGUAGCAGCAAAAAUCUAGACCAGUACAUUCCCAAUGAGAGCUACAGUUUCUCUGAGGGUCAUGAGGUUUAUGAAAGAACAAGAGAUAGGGAAAAAAGCUUUUCUGAGGGAAAAUUGUUUUCAUUAAUGAAAGGAAGAAGCAUCAGCCAGUUCCAAUGCCCAAAGAAAAUCAGUAAUUAAAUAGAACUAACUUCAGUAGCACAAAAUCACCUCUUUGGUUUCAAAAAUUUUAUAUCUGGUUUUUACACUUUUCAGAGACCAAGGAUUAGUUACAGCAAUGAGAAUGAAGAUGAAAUUCAGUGGAGUUUAAGAGUGUUCUAAGAUAAGAAUUUAAGUUCUGUACCCUUUAAUUCUAAUAUGAAUAAAACCACACCUACAAAGUAAAGUCCAGCUCCUGCUGAAGUUAGUUAAGAGGGUUUCUAGCAAUUUAGAUGGGCACUAGAUCAGGUUCCCUUGUUAUUAUAGCGAGAAAAAUAUUAGAACAGUGAAAAAAUAUCUAUAGAGUGUCCUUUCUUAAGAGAAUCCUGUAGUUAUAACAGUUGCCUGGUACGGUACCAUUGGUACCAACAAGAAAUAUUCACAGGAAUAAAUGAAGUACAAAUUCAUUACCACAUAUCAUUAUUCUUCUCUUCCCUUGCUCUUCAGUCUCACGUGCCCUCCAUACUGAGAUAGGGAGAGCAAGAACACCUGAUAAGCAAGUGCAUACAAACAUGUUAAGUUCUGGAGCACCAACUCUGCACAAUUUAUUUUACUGAGGAGCUGCCCAGAACAAACAGGUAAAAAUCCUUACACGUUGUCUAACAAAAACCAGUAUUUUUAUCAUAUAUAUAUGUGUAUAUAUAUAUAUAAAAAUCACAGUCUUCUGCACAGCAGAAGCUUAUAACUAAAAUAUUUUAAGAUUUGAUUUUUUUAGAUAGACAUAACAAAAUGCCUGCAAAUAUAAUACAGUGGGCACAUAACAAUUCUUAGAAUACCAAGAGUGAACAUGGAGUUACAUAUUUUAUCCACAUUCUACUUGUGACUGGAGACAAAAUUCUCUUGGAGUUUUUUAAAAGUUUCUCUUAAAA
Strigops habroptila (Kakapo) is the source of this 1850-nucleotide long non-coding RNA. The record is from Ensembl. NCBI's taxonomy places the organism in Eukaryota, Metazoa, Chordata, Aves, Psittaciformes, Psittacidae.